GAUGAACGCUGGCGGCGUGCCUAAUACAUGCAAGUCGAGCGAACAGACGAGGAGCUUGCUCCUCUGACGUUAGCGGCGGACGGGUGAGUAACACGUGGAUAACCUACCUAUAAGACUGGGAUAACUUCGGGACACCGGAGCUAAUACCGGAUAAUAUAUUGAACCGCAUGGUUCAAUAGUGAAAGACGGUUUUGCUGUCACUUAUAGAUGGAUCCGCGCCGCAUUAGCUAGUUGGUAAGGUAACGGCUUACCAAGGCAACGAUGCGUAGCCGACCUGAGAGGCUGAUCGGCCACACGGGAGCUGAGACACGGUCCAGACUCCUAAGGGAGGCAGCAGUAGGGAAUCUUCCGCAAUGGGCGAAAGCUUGACGGAGCAACGCCGCGUGAGUGAUGAAGGUCUUCGGAUCGUAAAACUCUGUUAUUAGGGAAGAACAAAUGUGUAAGUAACUAUGCACGUCUUGACGGUACCUAAUCAGAAAGCCACGGCUAACUACGUG
This 497-nucleotide ribosomal RNA is filed under the name uncultured bacterium. Its description in RNAcentral is "partial 16S ribosomal RNA". It matches the Rfam family "Bacterial small subunit ribosomal RNA", at positions 28 to 507 of the family's 1533-position model. The record is from RNAcentral.